Molecule: ribosomal RNA, 497 nt
Filed under: uncultured bacterium
Lineage: Bacteria
Description: partial 16S ribosomal RNA
Rfam family: Bacterial small subunit ribosomal RNA
Source: RNAcentral
GAUGAACGCUGGCGGCGUGCUUAACACAUGCAAGUCGAACGAAGCAUUUAGAACAGAUUACUUCGGUUUGAAGUUCUUUAUGACUGAGUGGCGGACGGGUGAGUAACGCGUGGGUAACCCGCCUUGUACUGGGGGAUAGCAGCUGGAAACGGCUGGUAAUACCGCAUAAGCGCACAAUGUUGCAUGACAUGGUGUGAAAAACUCCGGUGGUAUAAGAUGCACCCGCGUCUGAUUAGCUAGUUGGUGAGAUAACAGCCCACCAAGGCGACGAUCAGUAGCCGACCUGAGAGGGUGAUCGGCCACAUUGGGACUGAGACACGGCCCAGACUCCUACGGGAGGCAGCAGUGGGGAAUAUUGCACAAUGGAGGAAACUCUGAUGCAGCGACGCCGCGUGAGUGAAGAAGUAAUUCGUUAUGUAAAGCUCUAUCAGCAGGGAAGAUAGUGACGGUACCUGACUAAGAAGCCCCGGCUAACUACGUGCCAGCCGCCGCAGUAA